GAAACAGUGGUGGUAGGAGACACAGUAGAGGUGGUACUAUACUGGUUAGGAGACACAGUAGAGGUGGUACUAUACUGGUUAGGAGACACAGUAGAGGUGGUACUAUACUGGUUAGGAGACACAGUAGAGGUGGUACUAUACUGGUUAGGAGACACAGUAGAGGUGGUACUAUACUGGUUAGGAGACACAGUAGAGGUGGUACUAUACUGGUUAGGAGACACAGUAGAGGUGGUACUAUACUGGUUAGGAGACACAGUAGAGGUGGUACUAUACUGGUACCGUGAGGUGGUACUAUACUGGUUAGGAGACACAGUAGAGGUGGUACUAUACUGGUUAGGAGACACAGUAGAGGUGGUACUAUACUGGUUAGGAGACACAGUAGAGGUGGUACUAUACUGGUUAGGAGACACAGUAGAGGUGGUACUAUACUGGUUAGGAGACACAGUAGAGGUGGUACUAUACUGGUUAGGAGACACAGUAGAGGUGGUACUAUACUGGUUAGGAGACACAGUAGAGGUGGUACUAUACUGGUUAGGAGACACAGUAGAGGUGGUACUAUACUGGUUAGGAGACACAGUAGAGGUGGUACUAUACUGGUUAGGAGACACAGUAGAGGUGGUACUAUACUGGUUAGGAGACACAGUAGAGGUGGUACUAUACUGGUUAGGAGACACAGUAGAGGUGGUACUAUACUGGUUAGGAGACACAGUAGAGGUGGUACUAUACUGGUACCGUGAGGUGGUACUAUACUGGUAUAGUGAGGUGGUACUAUACUGGUAUAGUGAGGUGGUACUAUACUGGUUAGGAGACACAGUAGAGGUGGUACUAUACUGGUACCGUGAGGUGGUACUAUACUGGUACCGUGAGGUGGUACUAUACUGGUACCGUGAGGUGGUACUAUACUGGUAUAGUGAGGUGGUACUAUACUGGUAUAGUGAGGUGGUACUAUACUGGUAUAGUGAGGUGGUACUAUACUGGUAUAGUGAGGUGGUUAGGGAUCCUUCCACUGCUUUCAUUACAACCACACAAGGAGGUCAAAGGCAGGCUGGCUCCCAGCUUGGUGAGUUCACAGCUAGCUACCCCAGCUACCCUGGGGGUGACGGUGAGGGCCUGGGGGUGACGGUGAGGGCCUGGGGGUGACGGUGAGGGCCUGGGG
RNAcentral lists this long non-coding RNA (1156 nucleotides) under Oncorhynchus mykiss (rainbow trout). RNAcentral's name for it is "lncRNA (ENSOMYG00000074284.1)". The record is from RNAcentral. Lineage: Eukaryota; Metazoa; Chordata; Actinopteri; Salmoniformes; Salmonidae.